This 776-nucleotide ribosomal RNA is filed under the name uncultured Neocallimastigales. RNAcentral describes it as "partial large subunit ribosomal RNA". It matches the Rfam family "Eukaryotic large subunit ribosomal RNA", at positions 23 to 646 of the family's 3401-position model. Lineage: Eukaryota; Fungi; Neocallimastigomycota; Neocallimastigomycetes; Neocallimastigales. The record is from RNAcentral.
AGAGAGAGACAUGCGCGCAUAUCAAUAAGCGGAGGAAAAGAAACUAACUAGGAUUCCCUUAGUAACGGCGAGUGAAGCGGGAAGAGCUCAAAUUUGAAAUCUUCAAGGGUUUACCUUUACGAAUUGUAGUUUAAAGAAGUGUUUUCUGUUGAGGUUUUGGUAAAAGUUCUUUGGAAUAGGACAUCAUAGAGGGUGAGAAUCCCGUAUUUGACCAUUAUUUCCAGCUUUGUGAUACACUUUCAAAGAGUCGGAUUGUUUGGGAAUGCAGUCCAAAAUGGGUGGUAAAUUUCAUCUAAAGCUAAAUAUUGGCGAGAGACCGAUAGCGAACAAGUACCGUGAGGGAAAGAUGAAAAGAACUUUGAAAAGAGAGUUAAACAGUACGUGAAAUUGUCAAAAGGGAAGCGUUUGACACCAGUGUUGUUUUUCUGAAAAUCAAUUAAGGAACUGUUUAUGCUAAGUUGUUUAGACUUUAUCAGCUAACUGUUUAGUUUUGAGCUUUUCUUUAAUGCACUUUUCAGUUAACAAGUCAACAUCAAUUUCUUUUGCUGUAAAAAAGCUUGAGGAAGGUGGCUUGAGAUUCGUCUUAAGUGUUUAUAGCCUCUGGCCUCUGCAGUCGGAGAGAUUGAGGUCUGCAGCGUAGAUCCUUCGGGGUUAGAUACAUUUGUGCUAAGUUAUAGCAUUUUCAUAGACAACUUGUUGACUAUGAUUAGUCAUUGUAGCUUACUCGCUUAUGUUAUUUUACCUACGCUUAGGAUGUUGAUGUGAUACUGCGAGCA